GUGCUCAUUUUGGUAACACAUACCUAAAACUGGAAUGAUACAGGGAAGGUUAGCAUGGCCCCUGCACAAGGAUGACUCGCAAAUUCGUGAAACAUUCCAUAUUUUU
Small nuclear RNA from Hippopotamus amphibius kiboko, 106 nucleotides. The record is from RefSeq and is a predicted model, not a curated record. NCBI's taxonomy places the organism in Eukaryota, Metazoa, Chordata, Mammalia, Artiodactyla, Hippopotamidae.